This 254-nucleotide ribosomal RNA is filed under the name uncultured bacterium. RNAcentral describes it as "partial 16S ribosomal RNA". It matches the Rfam family "Bacterial small subunit ribosomal RNA", at positions 524 to 776 of the family's 1533-position model. The record is from RNAcentral.
UACGGGGGGAGCAAGCGUUGUUCGGAUUUACUGGGCGUAAAGGGCGCGUAGGCGGCCAGCACAAGUCAGUUGUGAAAUCUCCGAGCUUAACUCGGAAAGGUCAACUGAUACUGUGCGGCUAGAGUGCGGAAGGGGCAACUGGAAUUCUUGGUGUAGCGGUGAAAUGCGUAGAUAUUGGGAAGAACACCUGAGGCGAAGGCGGGUUGCUGGGCCGACACUGACGCUGAGGCGCGAAAGCCAGGGGAGCGAACGGG